Molecule: ribosomal RNA, 635 nt
Filed under: uncultured archaeon
Lineage: Archaea
Description: bacterial SSU rRNA
Rfam family: Archaeal small subunit ribosomal RNA
Source: RNAcentral
AAGGCGCGAAAAUUUCGCAAUGCGCGAAAGCGUGACGAAGGUAAUCCGAGUGCUUCCCGAAAGGGAAGCUUUUAAUGAGUCUAAAAAACUCAUUGAAUAAGGGGUGGGUAAAUCCUGUGCCAGCCGCCGCGGUAACACAGGUAGCCCUAGUGGUGUCCACGAAUAUUGAGUCUAAAGCGUCCGUAGCCGGUUCAGCAAGUUUCCUGUGAAAUCUCUAGGCUCAACCUAGAGGCGUGCAGGGAAUACUACUAGACUUGGGAGUGGGAGAGGCCAAGGGUACUCCAGGGGGAGCGGUAAAAAUAUUUUGCAUUGGAAUACAAAAUUUUCAGUGCAAGCAUUGCAAUGCUGUAAUCCUUGGAGGACCAUCGGUGGCGAAAGCGCUUGGCCAGAACACGUCCGACGGUGAGGGACGAAGGCUAAGGGAGCGAAACGGAUUAGAUACCCGUGUAGUCUUAGCAGUAAAUUAUGCAGACUUGGCGUUGCAUUCGCUAGAGCGGAUGCAGUGCCGUAGCGAAGGCGUUUAGUCUGCCACUUGGGGAGUACGGUCGCAAGAUUGAAAGAACCUUCUUUCUUGAACUAGCGGCAUGAAAGAAAGAGAUGUUCCUGUAAACUUAAAGGAAUUGGCGGGGGAGGAC